This 176-nucleotide ribosomal RNA is filed under the name uncultured bacterium. Its description in RNAcentral is "partial 16S ribosomal RNA". It matches the Rfam family "Bacterial small subunit ribosomal RNA", at positions 118 to 290 of the family's 1533-position model. The record is from RNAcentral.
UGAGGAACAUGACCUUCGGCGGGGGAGUAGCCGGCCCAACGGCCGGGUAAUACCGCGUACGACCACAUGGGGACAUCCCUGAGUGGUGAAAGCAGCAAUGCGCCGAUGGAGUGCCUCGCGGCCUAUCAGCUAGUUGGUGAGGGUAACGGCUCACCAAGGCGACGACGGGUAGCUGG